GGGAGGGGAUGGGGGGGGGGGAGCGGAGAAAAAACAAAAGAAAUAAGAGAUAGCAGGAGCUGACCGAAAUAGCUUACGGGCUGUAUCGUAUAAGCAUA
RNAcentral lists this ribosomal RNA (98 nucleotides) under Paenibacillus validus. RNAcentral's name for it is "partial 23S ribosomal RNA". The record is from RNAcentral. Lineage: Bacteria; Bacillati; Bacillota; Bacilli; Caryophanales; Paenibacillaceae.